This 100-nucleotide small nuclear RNA is filed under the name Colletotrichum sublineola. The record is from RNAcentral. Lineage: Eukaryota; Fungi; Ascomycota; Sordariomycetes; Glomerellales; Glomerellaceae.
GCGUUCGGGCAUUUGGUCAAUUUGAAGCGAUACAGAGAAGAUUGGCAUGGCCCCUGCACUAAGGAUGACACGCUCAAUCAAAGAGAAGCUACCUUAGUAG